Molecule: ribosomal RNA, 301 nt
Filed under: uncultured bacterium
Lineage: Bacteria
Description: partial 16S ribosomal RNA
Rfam family: Bacterial small subunit ribosomal RNA
Source: RNAcentral
CAGUCGCCGCGGUAAUACGUAGGUGGCAAGCGUUGUCCGGAAUUAUUGGGCGUAAAGCGUCUGUAGAUGGCUUUUCAAGUCCGCCGUCAAAUCCCAGGGCUCAACCCUGGACAGGCGGUGGAAACUACCAAGCUGGAGUAUGGUAGGGGUAGAGGGAAUUUCCAGUGGAGCGGUGAAAUGCGUUGAGAUCGGAAACAACACCAACGGCAAAAUCACUCUGCUGGGUCGACACUGACACUAAGAGACGAAAGCUAGGGGAGCGAACAGGAUUAGAUACCCCCGUAGUCCCUGUCUCUUUACA